UCAAAUAUGUUUAUUUAUAUCUUUAUGAUUUUAUUCCCUCUCUCUAUUCUCAUGGCAUUUUCAUGACAUUAUUGGCUAACCUCUAAUCAUAGAUUUUGCUUUUGCCUCCCUGAAAGAAUUGUAAGCCUUUUUAAGAUAUGAAAUAUGCCUACACGCAGAGCUUGGCACACAGUAGAGUCAAUCAUUUAAUGUUUUAAAUAUGCAUUUUCAGACUCAAAUAAUGAAGAAGUUUCAUUGGUAUCCACUGGUCACAUCAUAACUGGUUAUAGGGCAAUAAAAUCUGUGUUAAAUUCGAUUGCCUUUAUAUGUUAUCUGAAUUAUUUCUUCACUGUGACAGCAAAGAUUUAAAUAAGAUGAAUGUAAAAGAGAAAGCUUAUUGGACUCAAACCCACAGAUGGACACCAGAGUUCCACUUAGCUCAUCUUGGUAUCAAUAAAAACUCAUGUGGAAGGGAGACAUGAGACAUCAAUCAAUAUAUGUAAGAUGUACAUUGGUUCCAUCCAGAAAGGAGGGACAACUCAAGAAAGGAGGGGGCUUCCAGGUCACAGGGAAUCCGCGGUUGUGAUACAGUUUCUUCACAGGGUCUGUGGAUUCUCUUGGCUUUCCUGGUAUGUUGCUGCAGUAAUUCUUGAAGCAAAACCUCACAAUGUGAGUCUCCACAUGCUGUCCUGUCUGUCCCAGUGGAAGCUGCAAGCUAGUCCUGCCUCCUCACCCUCACAGAAACAGGAGAAUAAUGUUUGACCAAAUAUCUAGGCACUUUGUGGCCCAGUCAAGUUGACACAUUAAAUUAACCAUCACACUGGUCCCCAUGCAAAGUGGAACCCAGGUUUCAGAGCUCAGGCCCAGGGUCCCCUUACGAGGAGGGCUCCUGAGGGUUAUGAGUAUAAUGACUAUAUCUAGGCUGUCCUUCACAGCCACUUUCUUUCUUCCUAAACCUCAGGAUUUAAGCACACUGGCCUGAAACCUGGGUUCAAAUCUCUGCCAUGUAUUAGUUGUGCAAACUUUAGAUAUUAUUCAGAUAUUAUUUAAUAUCUCUAUGCCUCAGUUUCUUCACCUUUAAAAUUGAGAUAAAAUAAUCUCUACCUCAGGAGAUUGUUGUGAAGAGUAAUUAAGCUAAUGUGAAACACUUAGAACAAUGCCUGGUACAUGGUAAGUGCCCAAUAAAUAUUUUAAAAUAAAUGUUUUUAAAUGUUUU
This 1195-nucleotide long non-coding RNA is filed under the name Piliocolobus tephrosceles (Ugandan red Colobus). Its description in RNAcentral is "lncRNA (ENSPTEG00000028958.1)". Lineage: Eukaryota; Metazoa; Chordata; Mammalia; Primates; Cercopithecidae. The record is from RNAcentral.